UACAGAGGGGGCAAGCGUUGUUCGGAAUUACUGGGCGUAAAGGGCGCGUAGGUGGCCUUCUAAGUUGAACGUGAAAUCCCUGGGCUCAACCCAGGAACUGCGUCCAAGACUGGGAGGCUUGAAUCCGGGAGAGGGAUGCGGAAUUCCAGGUGUAGCGGUGAAAUGCGUAGAUAUCUGGAGGAACACCGGUGGCGAAAGCGGCUCACUGGACCGUCUCUGACGCUGAGGUGCGAAAGCCAGGGUAGCGAACGGG
This 253-nucleotide ribosomal RNA is filed under the name uncultured bacterium. RNAcentral's name for it is "partial 16S ribosomal RNA". It matches the Rfam family "Bacterial small subunit ribosomal RNA", at positions 524 to 776 of the family's 1533-position model. The record is from RNAcentral.